Molecule: long non-coding RNA, 619 nt
Organism: Halichondria panicea
Lineage: Eukaryota; Metazoa; Porifera; Demospongiae; Suberitida; Halichondriidae
Exons: 3
Source: RefSeq, a predicted model, not a curated record
ACAAACAAUGGAGUAGGUAUUUAAAGGGGUGAACAUGCAGAGUGAGGUAGGUUCACAGGCAAGCACAGAGCAACAAGAGGAUACCAUUCAACAAUUAUACAAGUGGAGACUGUCAAUAUGGAAUCAGGACAAACUGGAGCGAGAUUUCCAAAACCUAACUUUGUGAAUCUCUGCUGCAUUUCGAUAAGCAAUGGAUUCAGGAAAGGAAAAGAAGACCACUACUAUAUCCUGUCCAUUCGUACCUUGAUUUAUGGAUUUAUUCUCUUUUUUGCCUGGCCAGGAAUUCUGUUGAGUGUAGCUGCUAUCAUUAAAGCUAAAAAGGCUCAAGAACUGGACAUUGAAGGCAAUAAAACCGAGGCUGAGAAAAAAGCUGCCCAGGCUAGGAAGCUAAACAUUGCAUCCUACAUCAGCUCUGCAGCGUACUUCAUAGUGGUGUCAGCGGUAUUCUCAGUGAUAGUAAUUGUAAUCAGAAGGUGAUCUGCCUGAGGCCGGGCACAUGCAGCUGAUUUAGAACAAACAACACAGACUGAUACUAGAUAGUGCACGUAUUUUAAUGUGUAUGCAUGCUUAUUGUUAUUUCACACAAUAAAUUGGAUUGGUAUUAAUAAUGAGUGAUAAA